Molecule: ribosomal RNA, 33 nt
Filed under: Gilletiodendron glandulosum
Lineage: Eukaryota; Viridiplantae; Streptophyta; Magnoliopsida; Fabales; Fabaceae
Description: partial 26S ribosomal RNA
Source: RNAcentral
CACGCGACCUCAGCUCAGGCGGGGCUACCCGCU